Molecule: ribosomal RNA, 376 nt
Filed under: uncultured Pseudoalteromonas sp.
Lineage: Bacteria; Pseudomonadati; Pseudomonadota; Gammaproteobacteria; Alteromonadales; Pseudoalteromonadaceae
Description: bacterial SSU rRNA
Rfam family: Bacterial small subunit ribosomal RNA
Source: RNAcentral
GCUGCCGGCAGGCCUAACACAUGCAAGUCGAGCGGUAACAGAAAGUAGCUUGCUACUUUGCUGACGAGCGGCGGACGGGUGAGUAAUGCUUGGGAACAUGCCUUGAGGUGGGGGACAACAGUUGGAAACGACUGCUAAUACCGCAUAAUGUCUACGGACCAAAGGGGGCUUCGGCUCUCGCCUUUAGAUUGGCCCAAGUGGGAUUAGCUAGUUGGUGAGGUAAUGGCUCACCAAGGCGACGAUCCCUAGCUGGUUUGAGAGGAUGAUCAGCCACACUGGGACUGAGACACGGCCCAGACUCCUACGGGAGGCAGCAGUGGGGAAUAUUGCACAAUGGGCGCAAGCCUGAUGCAGCCAUGCCCGCGUGUGUGAAGAA